GCCUAACACAUGCAGUCGAACGGUAACAGGAAGCAGCUUGCUGCUUCGCUGACGAGUGGCGGACGGGUGAGUAAUGUCUGGGAAACUGCCUGAUGGAGGGGGAUAACUACUGGAAACGGUAGCUAAUACCGCAUAACGUCGCAAGACCAAAGAGGGGGACCUUCGGGCCUCUUGCCAUCGGAUGUGCCCAGAUGGGAUUAGCUAGUAGGUGGGGUAACGGCUCACCUAGGCGACGAUCCCUAGCUGGUCUGAGAGGAUGACCAGCCACACUGGAACUGAGACACGGUCCAGACUCCUACGGGAGGCAGCAGUGGGCAAUAUUGUACAAUGGGCGCAAGCCUGAUGCAGCCAUGCCGCGUGUAUGAAGAAGGCCUUCGGGUUGUAAAGUACUUUCAGCGGGGAGGAAGGCGAUAAGGUUAAUAACCUUGCCGAUUGACGUUACCCGCAGAAGAAGCACCGGCCUAACUCCGUGCCAGCA
Molecule: ribosomal RNA, 478 nt
Filed under: Enterobacter cloacae
Lineage: Bacteria; Pseudomonadati; Pseudomonadota; Gammaproteobacteria; Enterobacterales; Enterobacteriaceae
Description: bacterial SSU rRNA
Rfam family: Bacterial small subunit ribosomal RNA
Source: RNAcentral